Long non-coding RNA from Papaver somniferum (opium poppy), 1855 nucleotides. RefSeq lists it as uncharacterized. The record is from RefSeq and is a predicted model, not a curated record. Lineage: Eukaryota; Viridiplantae; Streptophyta; Magnoliopsida; Ranunculales; Papaveraceae. The transcript has 5 exons.
UCCCCAAUUUUCCACCGUCUCUAUUUCUGAUAAACCCUAGACUUUCUACUAAUCCUCUGUAAAUCUUUCUUUCUUUUUUAAACCUCAAGGGAUGGAUUUUCUAAUGGAGUAUUCCAAGUAUCUCACUUCUUUCUUCAGCUACAAGAGGAGGGAUUUGGCGGAGAAUUUCACCAAUCUCCCGUUGAAUCGUAGCUGAUGUUAACUCGGAGAUAUCUUGUUGUUCAUCCAUCAUUCCUCUUUUAAUGGUGCUGAUUCUGCCAGGUGAAUCAGUAGCAUGGCUUCAUCCCCUCCUCUAUGCUAAGCUUCUUCUGAAGGAAGAAGUGAAGAUUCAUGCAGGGCACUCUCCAGCGAUCUAAUCUAACACCUGACCUGAUAAGAUGUCUCUGCAUAAAUGGGGUUCUAAUGUCUCUUUACAGUUGAACUCUGGGCACGUCAUCAAGGCAUUAUUCUCUUGUACCCUUGAUGCGAUGUGUUUGGUGGUGGUGCAUUUGGAGCAGUAAAUUUGUGAAUAUUUGUUAGUACUGUUUCUCAUCUCAUUUCCUGGUUUGGCUUCCAUGCAAAUCUGGCAUACACUGCUUUCUGAUAUUAUAAAUUCUAUACAGGGCGGUCACAAGUUCGUACUGCAAAGGAGCUGUAGGGGAUAUGUUGGUCUUUGACAUAACUAUACGUCAAAGGAAUUGCGUGGACAUGGAGACAAGAACAUUAAGUGUGAUCUCGGAAGCCAGCGCGCGUGCUGUCCCCACAAAGGAUGCCAAAGAAUUCGCUCAAAAGGAAGGACUUUUCUUCUUAGAGACAUCAGCACUGGAAGGAUCUAGCGUUGAGACUGCGUUUUCAACUGUUUUGACUGAGAUCUUCAAUAUUGUUAACAAGAAAACUCUCGUUCCCGAUGAAAUCAAAGCAAUGGAAGCCAAGCAUCCUUGACUGGAAAAAAACAUCAUUGUCCCUGGCCCUGCACAAGUAAUUCCCGACAGGUGAACCAGUAGCAUGGCUUCAUUCCCUCCUCUAUGCUAAGCUUUGUCUGAAGGAAGAAUUGAAGAUUCAUGCAAAGCACUCUCCCAGCGAUCUAACACUGGACCUGAUAAGAUGUCUCUGCAUAGAUGGGGUUCUUAUGUCUCUUUGCAGUUGAACUCUGGGCACAUUAUUAAGAGCAGUCAGAAGUUUCUACUACACAGGAGCUGUAGGGGCUAUGUUGGUCUAUGACAUAACUAAACGCCAAAGGAAUUACGAGGACAUGGAGACAAGAACAUUAAGUGUGAUCUUGAAAGCCAGCGUGCUGUGCCCACCCAGGAUGCUAAGGAAUUCACUCAAAGGAAAGGACUUUUCUUCUUAGAGAUAUCAGCACUGGAAACAUCCAACGUUGAGACCGCCUUCUCAACCGUUUUGACUGAGAUCUUUAACAUUGUUAGCAAGAAGACACUCGUUACAUAUAAAGAUCAAAGCAACAGAAGCCAAGCAUUGUUCCAGGCCCUGCACAAGUAAUUCCCACCAAGAGCAGUAUGUGCUGUUCAUCUUGAUCUUAGUCUGAUCAAAUUGUUGAUAUUAGGAUUGAACUGUUUGUUGUUUGUCUCUUUUUGUCUUAGCUUAUUCUUGUAUAUUUUGACUGUAUGUUAAAGUUUCAGAGGAAUAGCUUGGUUAUGCUUCAAGACUGGAAAACAGUGGGAAAUGGUCAGAGUCUUGAUGAAAUUGAAUUUAUGGCCCUCCCAAAAGACUGUAGCUUCUUCUUAUGGUACUUCUAGGUGACUAUUAGGAGGUCUGUUUUAUGCUUAUGUGAGGACCAAGUUACUACCUAAUGAGGCUAUCCCUUAGCCACUAGCAACAGUUACCAAUAUAUCCAUGUGCUUGUGUCAUGUAAAAA